This 437-nucleotide ribosomal RNA is filed under the name uncultured Oscillospiraceae bacterium. RNAcentral describes it as "bacterial SSU rRNA". It matches the Rfam family "Bacterial small subunit ribosomal RNA", at positions 341 to 792 of the family's 1533-position model. Lineage: Bacteria; Bacillati; Bacillota; Clostridia; Eubacteriales; Oscillospiraceae. The record is from RNAcentral.
ACGGGAGGCAGCAGUGGGGAAUAUUGGGCAAUGGGCGAAAGCCUGACCCAGCAGCGCCGCGUGAAGGAAGAAGGCCUUCGGGUUGUAAACUUCUUUUACCAGGGACGAAGGACGUGACGGUACCUGGAGAAAAAGCAACGGCUAACUACGUGCCAGCAGCCGCGGUAAUACGUAGGUUGCAAGCGUUGUCCGGAUUUACUGGGUGUAAAGGGCGUGUAGGCGGAGCUGCAAGUCAGAUGUGAAAUCCCGGGGCUCAACCCCGGAACUGCAUUUGAUACUGUCGGCCUUGAAUUCGGAUGCCGUGGGAGGAAUGAGUAGUGUAGCGGUGAAAUGCAUAGAUAUUACUCAGAACACCGAUUGCGAAGGCAUCUCACGAAUCCGACAUUGACGCUGAGGCACGAAAGCGUGGGGAUCAAACAGGAUUAGAUACCCUGGUA